CACUUUGCCUAUAUGGUAAAUGUGAGAUGCAGUGUAUGGAAUAUCAAAUUUCUAGUAUGAUAUAUUGACGAUUUAAGUCCUUCUUAAAUGAGGCCAUUUACCCAUAGAGGGUGCUAGGCCCGUAUAACGUUAAUGAUUACUAGAUGAUAUUUCCAAAGAGUCGUGUUGCUUGAUAGUGCAGCACUAAGUGGGUGGUAAACUCCAUCUAAAACUAAAUAUAACCAUGAGACCGAUAGUAAACAAGUACCGUGAGGGAAAGUUGAAAAGAACUCUGAAUAGAGAGUUAAAUAGUACGUGAAACUGCUUAGAGGUUAAGCCCGAUGAACCUGAAUAUCCAAUUAUAGAAAAUUCAUCAUCAUGAUAAUAAUAUUUAUUACAUAUUAUUUAUAAUGGUGUGCAUUUUUUCUAUUAAGGACAUUGUAAUCUAUUAAUAUAAAAAUUAUAUAUUUAUCAUAAGAUCAUAAUGCUUAAAAGAUUAUUUAAAUUAUUUUGCUUGCAAUAUAACAUAGAAUAAAAGCAUUUGAUUUGAUAAAGUGUUGAUAGAUUUAUAAAAUAUGGUGCUUAAAUAUAAAUUAAUGUAUUUUAUAAUAGCAUAUAUAAAUAAUUAAAUUUAUUAUGUUUAUUAUAUGCACUAUAUAUGAUUAACAAUGCGAAAGAUUCAGGAUACCUUCGGGACCCGUCUUGAAACACGGACCAAGGAGUCUAACAUAUUUGCAAGUUAUUGGGAAUAAAAACCUAAUAGCGUAAUUAAUAUAACUUUAUAUAUAUGGGAUUAGUUUUAGUCUAUUUUUUUAAAAUAGCCUAUUAAUUCAAUCCCGGGGCGUUCUAUCCCGUUAUGUAUAAUAAUAUAUUCAUAUUAUUUAUACCUCUAACUUGAGCGUACCUUGAGCAUAUAUGCUGUGACCCGAAAGAUGGUGAACUAUACUUGAUCAGGUUGAAGUCAGGGGAAACCCUGAUGGAAGACCGAAACAGUUCUGACGUGCAAAUCGAUUGUCAGAAUUGCA
RNAcentral lists this ribosomal RNA (1004 nucleotides) under Cylindromyia euchenor. RNAcentral describes it as "eukaryotic LSU rRNA". It matches the Rfam family "Eukaryotic large subunit ribosomal RNA", at positions 120 to 915 of the family's 3401-position model. Lineage: Eukaryota; Metazoa; Arthropoda; Insecta; Diptera; Tachinidae. The record is from RNAcentral.